This 440-nucleotide ribosomal RNA is filed under the name uncultured bacterium. RNAcentral's name for it is "partial 16S ribosomal RNA". It matches the Rfam family "Bacterial small subunit ribosomal RNA", at positions 338 to 795 of the family's 1533-position model. The record is from RNAcentral.
CCUACGGGCGGCAGCAGUGGGGAAUAUUGCACAAUGGGGGAAACCCUGAUGCAGCGACGCCGCGUGAGUGAAGAAGGAUUGCGGUAGGUAAAGCUCUAUCAGCAGGGAAGAAAAUGACGGUACCUGAGUAAGAAGCCCCGGCUAACUACGUGCCAGCAGCCGCGGUAAUACGUAGGGGGCAAGCGUUAUCCGGAUUUACUGGGUGUAAAGGGAGCGUAGACGGCAGCACAAGUCUGGCGUGAAAUGCCGGGGCUUAACCCCGGAACUGCUUUGGAAACUGUGCGGCUAGAGUGCAGGAGAGGUAAGUGGAAUUCCUAGUGUAGCGGUGAAAUGCGUAGAUAUUAGGCGGAACACCAGUGGCGAAGGCGGCUUACUGGACUGUAACUGACGUUGAGGCUCGAAAGCGUGGGGAGCAAACAGGAUUAGAUACCCCGGUAGUC